Molecule: transfer RNA, 67 nt
Filed under: Pinnaxodes major
Lineage: Eukaryota; Metazoa; Arthropoda; Malacostraca; Decapoda; Pinnotheridae
Description: tRNA-Asn
Source: RNAcentral
UUGAUAGAAACCAAAAAAGAGGUAUAUCAUUGUUAAUGAUAAUAUUGAACGAAUAGCUCCUAUCAAG